AUAAACGCAAUGAACGGGAGCAAGUAAAAGGGGUACUGUCUUCAGAGAGCCGCGGUUUUGGUGCAACGCGGCGGCAGGAACCUUUGAAUCUCGCCCGGGAGCGGAAGAGGGGAACAUAGGCAUGGCGCUGCUGCAGAUAAGGUAUAGAUUUGCAGGCAGCAAAAGUUUCUAAUAUGUACUCUCUUACGGGAUCCCCCGUGAACAGGAGUCCGAUAAAUAUUUCGCCCGGCCGGCGUAUUUUAUCGGACACUAAGCGGACGCACGUUUCGGCAUGAUGCCGAAAUCAAUGCGUCAAGUAGAGUGGUACCACGGAGGGUUUAAAGCCCGUCGUCUCUUGU
Molecule: non-coding RNA, 338 nt
Filed under: Paenibacillus uliginis
Lineage: Bacteria; Bacillati; Bacillota; Bacilli; Caryophanales; Paenibacillaceae
Description: T-box sequence
Rfam family: T-box leader
About the family: Uncharged tRNA acts as the effector for transcription antitermination of genes in the T-box leader family.
Source: RNAcentral